Molecule: ribosomal RNA, 270 nt
Filed under: uncultured bacterium
Lineage: Bacteria
Description: partial 16S ribosomal RNA
Rfam family: Bacterial small subunit ribosomal RNA
Source: RNAcentral
GAUUAACGCUAGCGGCAGGCCUAAUACAUGCAAGUCGAACGGCAGCACGGGUAGCAAUACCUGGUGGCGAGUGGCGCACGGGUGCGUAACGCGUAUGCAAUCUACCUGUAACUGGGGAAUAGCCUUCCGAAAGGAAGAUUAACACCGCAUAAUAUCACGAAGCGGCAUCGUUUUGUGAUCAAAUCUCCGGAGGUUACAGAUGAGCAUGCGUGACAUUAGCUAGUUGGUGAGGUAACGGCUCACCAAGGCGACGAUGUCUAGGGGGUCUGA